ACCCAGCUGACGAGUUCCAAAUAGGACGAAACGCGCGUCCUGGAU
RNAcentral lists this non-coding RNA (45 nucleotides) under Schistosoma margrebowiei. The record is from RNAcentral. Lineage: Eukaryota; Metazoa; Platyhelminthes; Trematoda; Strigeidida; Schistosomatidae.